This is an RNA transcript of Nymphaea colorata (pocket water lily), 2864 nucleotides long. RefSeq lists it as uncharacterized. Lineage: Eukaryota; Viridiplantae; Streptophyta; Magnoliopsida; Nymphaeales; Nymphaeaceae. The transcript is spliced from 3 exons. The record is from RefSeq and is a predicted model, not a curated record.
UGCCGUGAGGGAGGGCGAUCGUUCAUUUUCACCGUGAAAAACUUGAUUUUCAUCGUCAAAUCGAAGAUUAAGUGGUCGAUUUGUGCGUGGGUGCUUGAUUUUCGUGGGAAGGAAAGAGGUUUUCUUCAUUUCAGACAUUUCUUCUUCGUAAGGUAUGAAAUCUCAUGUUCUUACCAUGUAUUCUUAAUUUUUUACCGUAUAAUCGUAGAUUUGAAGACUUUGAGUGUUUUUCAUUAAGUUUACCAUAGGAUUUCGUUUUUUUUUUUGAAGAUAUGGAUCCUACAUGGCAAUGGUGCGAAAGGGUGAAGGAGAAUAACCGUUUGAAACUCAAAUGUGGCUUCUGUGGGAAUACACUUUUAGGAGGGAUUAUUAGAAUGAAACACCAUUUGGCAGGGACCUCCAAAGAUGCGUCUCCUUGUGUUGGAGGACCAAACAAACCUUUGCCUCCAUUUGUGCGUCAACAAUGUUUAGAUAUGCUUCAUGCUUUACGUCAAAAGAGAAUACAAAAAGAAAUUGAAGAUGCAGAUGUAGGCUAUAAUGUGCCUUUGGAAGAUGAAGAAGAAGAGGAAGAAGCUUAUGAAUGUGAUGAUGAAGACGAUAGCAGUCUAAGAACAGAUUUGGAAACCUCAAGAGGUAGAGAUCGUAGAGGAAAAAGGAUUAUGUAUGAAGGAGGUCGAUCUGGCAUAAUGGGAAGGAAGAGGAGAGGCACAACAGAUGUUAGGGCCAGGCAUGGUAUGCGACAACCUAGUGGUAGAGUUCCUACUGGUAGGUCUAGUGUUGGCUCUAUUAAGAGUUUUUUCCCUUCAUAUACCAGCCCAGGUGGUCAGCCGCAGAUUCGUGCUGCUAUGACAUCUAAAGAUAUGCUAUAUCAUGCACAAAAGCAGGUAAGGAAAUGGUUUUAUGAUGCAUGUAUUCCAUUCAAUGCAGCUAAUUCUCUUCAAUUCCAAGCCAUGGCAGAUGCAAUUGCUUCUACAGGCCCCAGAUUCAAAAUGCCAUCAUAUCAUCAGUUGAGGGGCAAAAUUCUUCAGGAUACAGUCAAAGAAGUGUUUGAGCAUUGCGAUGAGUUGAAAUUAUGUUGGAAGGAAACAGGUUGCUCCAUUAUGUCAGAUGGUUGGACUGAUACAAAGUCAAGAACACUUGUAAAUUUUCUUGUUUAUUGCCCUAAAGGUACAAUGUUCUUGAAAUCUCUUGACUUGUCUGAUGUUCCUAAGACUGUUGAGAUUUUAUUCAAUGUUUUUGAUAAUGUCGUACAAGAAGUUGGACCUGCAAACAUUGGACCUGCAAACAUUGUACAGUUUAUUACAGAUAAUGCUGCAAAUUAUAGAGCUGCAGGAGAUUUAUUAUUUCAAAAGUAUAGAACAUUUUAUUGGAGUCCAUGUGCCACUCAUUGUGUUAAUCUAAUGCUUCAAGAUCUUAAUGAGAUGCAUGAUAUGAAAUCAGCCAUUGACCAAUGUCAAGAGGUAACAAAAUUUAUCUAUAAUCAUGCAUAUGUAUUGAGUUUGAUGAGAAAAUUUACAAAAGGAGUUGAAUUAAUACGAACUGUACAAACUAGAUUUGUCACAAAUGUAUUGACUGUGCAGAGUGUGGUGAAACAAAGAACUCCUUCGAGACAGAUGUUUGCUAGUGAAGAAUGAGCUGCAUAUCCACAUGCUCAUAAAAGAAAUGCUUCUUUAGUUGUGGAUAUUAUAUUCAAUAACGUAUUUUGGGAAUCAUGUGUGAAGCUAUUGAAGGUUUGUGUUCCAUUAGUUAAGGUUCUCAGGUUGGCUGACAGCGAGGACAAACCUUCUAUAGGGUACUUAUAUGAGGCUAUGGACAAAGCAAAAGAGGCAAUUCGAGACAACUUAAAGGAAAAGAAAAAGUUAUAUAUGCCCAUAUGGAAGAUUAUAGAUAAAAGGUGGACUGGACAGCUUCAUCAACCUCUUCAUGUAGCAGCUUAUUAUCUAAAUCCUGCAAUUAGAUUUUCUCCUACAUUUAAGAAGGACAGAGAAGUCAUGCAUGGUUUGUUAGAUUGUAUUAAUGUGUUAGUGGAAUAUUCUACAGAACAAGAUGCUGUGCACAAUGAGUUGGAUCUAUAUGAUAGUUGUUUUCGGAACAUGGGACUACCUGCCGCCGUUCGAGCCAGGACAAUGAUGCGUCCAGAUUUGUGGUGGAAUAGGUAUGAGUUUGAUUGUCCAAACCUAGCACGUUUUGCAGUCAAAGUCCUCAGCCAGACAUGCAGUGCUAGUGGAUGCGAAAGGAACUGGAGUGUGUUCCAACAUAUCCAUAGCAAAAAAAGGAAUAGGCUCGAACAUAAAAGGUUGAAUGACCCUGUCUUUGUUCGAUAUAAUAUGAGGUUGAAACAAAGAGAAUUAGAAAAAUCAUUAGCAAGGAAGCACACAUCUCAGUUCGAUCCUAUCAGCUUGGAAAAUUUUGACGAUCUAGAGCCAUGGAUUGAAGAAGAACCAGCUACAAUAUUUGAUGAUGAAGAUCUUGAAUGCUUCAACCUUGAAGUUGAAGCAACAGAAGGCUUUGUUGAUGAAGGAGAGUCUGCUACUGCUGGUGCUGGUGCUGAAUAUGUUGGUGAAGAUCUUCCAAUUCUUGACGAUGAAGAAGAAGAAGAAUAUGAAGAUGAAGAUGAUGAAGAUUAUGAAUGAUGAAUCAUGAAUGAGAGUCAAGUCAAGAGUGCUUUCAUUUUAUAUGUAUCAAAAACUUAAGAGUUAUGAAUCUAUGGUUGUUGAACACUUGAUUGAAUGUUUUAUCAUUUAUGACUUUAUCACUUUAUGGCUUAUGGCCUUAUGCUUUGUUGAAUGAUAUUGUAUUAUUGUUAUGAAUUUUGAUGUUUAUGAAUGAUGAACGCGUAAGUUUAUAGCAAUAAUAAGUCUAUC